Molecule: ribosomal RNA, 1231 nt
Filed under: Staphylinoidea sp. 8 KM-2017
Lineage: Eukaryota; Metazoa; Arthropoda; Insecta; Coleoptera
Description: 16S ribosomal RNA
Rfam family: Archaeal large subunit ribosomal RNA (bases 1022-1179)
Source: RNAcentral
AUUUUUAAAAAAUUAUUAUUAUUUUUUAAUAAAAUAGAUUUAUUUUUUAGUAUUUUUAGAAUAAAUAAUUUAAAUUAUAGUUAAUUAGUAUAGUAGUAGAAAUUUUUAAAAAAAUAAAAAGUAGAUUUAAUUUAUUGUACCUUGUGUAUCAGGGUUUAUUAAUUUAUUAUUAAAGAUUUAAUAAUCUCGAUUUUAUAAGAGUUAAUUAAUUAUAAAUUUAAUUGUAAAAUAAAUUUUUAUAAUAAUUAAUUAGAAAUGAAACGUUAUUCGUUUAUAAAAAUAUCUAGUUUUUAAAGAAAAAAAUUUAAUUUUACGUUAGUUUAAAUAUAUUUUAAUUUUAAAAUAUUUUUUGAUUAAUAGUUAUAAAUAUUAGGAUUAGCUAAUAUUUAAAUAAUUAUAAAUAAAUGGUUAAUUAAUAAUUUAUAGGAUUAGAAAUUUUUAUUUUAUUUUGUUAUAAUUAAUUAUUUGAAUUUAUUUUUUUUAUUAAUUUUAAAUUGAAUAUUUAAAUAAUUUAUUUAAUUUUUAAGUAAAUUUAAUUAUGAUAAAAUUAGUAUAAUUUAUUGUAAAAUUAAUUUAUUAAUUUUAGGUUAAUUAAAAGAAUUCGGCAAAGUAUUUUUCGCCUGUUUAUUAAAAACAUGUCUUAUAGAUUAUAAUUUUAAGUUUAACCUGCCCACUGAUAUUAUUUAAUGGCCGCAGUAUUUUGACUGUGCAAAGGUAGCAUAAUAAUUAGUUUUUUAAUUGAAAGCUAGAAUGAAUGGUUGGACGAAAAAAUAACUGUUUCUAAUUAAUUUUAUUAAAAUUUAAUUUUUAAGUUAAAAAGCUUAAAUUUUUUUUAAAGACGAGAAGACCCUAUAGAGUUUUAUUUAAUUUAAAUUAUAAAAAUUUUAGAAUUUAAUUUUUUAUAUAUUUAUUUAAAUUUUAUUGGGGUGAUAGAAAAAUUUAAUUAACUUUUUUUAUAUUAAAACAUUGAUUUAUGAAAUAAUGAUCCAUUUAAAUGAUUAUAAGAUUAAAUUACCUUAGGGAUAACAGCGUAAUUUUUAUAAAGAGUUCUUAUCGAAAUAAAAGUUUGCGACCUCGAUGUUGGAUUAAAAUUAAUUUUGGUGUAGAAGCUAAAAUGUUAAGUCUGUUCGACUUUUAAAAUUUUACAUGAUCUGAGUUUAGACCGGCGUGAGCCAGGUUAGUUUCUAUCUUAAAAAUAAAAUUAUAUUUUAGUACGAAAGGACCAAGUAUA